AGAGUUUGAUCCUGGCUCAGGACGAACGCUGGCGGCACGCUUAACACAUGCAAGUCGAACGAGAGAAGAGGAGCUUGCUUUUCUGAUCUAGUGGCGGACGGGUGAGUAACACGUGAGCAAUCUGCCUUUCAGAGGGGGAUACCGAUUGGAAACGAUCGUUAAUACCGCAUAACAUAAUUGAACCGCAUGAUUUGAUUAUCAAAGAUUUAUCGCUGAAAGAUGAGCUCGCGUCUGAUUAGCUAGUUGGUAAGGUAACGGCUUACCAAGGCGACGAUCAGUAGCCGGACUGAGAGGUUGAUCGGCCACAUUGGGACUGAGACACGGCCCAGACUCCUACGGGAGGCAGCAGUGGGGAAUAUUGCACAAUGGAGGAAACUCUGAUGCAGCGAUGCCGCGUGAGGGAAGAAGGUUUUAGGAUUGUAAACCUCUGUCUUCAGGGACGAAAAAAGACGGUACCUGAGGAGGAAGCUCCGGCUAACUACGUGCCAGCAGCCGCGGUAAUACGUAGGGAGCGAGCGUUGUCCGGAAUUACUGGGUGUAAAGGGAGCGUAGGCGGGAUCGCAAGUCAGAUGUGAAAACUAUGGGCUUAACCCAUAAACUGCAUUUGAAACUGUGGUUCUUGAGUGAAGUAGAGGUAAGCGGAAUUCCUAGUGUAGCGGUGAAAUGCGUAGAUAUUAGGAGGAACAUCAGUGGCGAAGGCGGCUUACUGGGCUUUAACUGACGCUGAGGCUCGAAAGCGUGGGGAGCAAACAGGAUUAGAUACCCUGGUAGUCCACGCCGUAAACGGUGAUUACUAGGUGUGGGGGGACUGACCCCUUCCGUGCCGCAGCAAACGCAAUAAGUAAUCCACCUGGGGAGUACGACCGCAAGGUUGAAACUCAAAGGAAUUGACGGGGGCCCGCACAAGCAGUGGAGUAUGUGGAUUAAUUCGAAGCAACGCGAAGAACCUUACCAGGUCUUGACAUCGUAUGCAUAGCUCAGAGAUGAGUGAAAUCUCUUCGGAGACAUAUAGACAGGUGGUGCAUGGUUGUCGUCAGCUCGUGUCGUGAGAUGUUGGGUUAAGUCCCGCAACGAGCGCAACCCUUACUGUUAGUUGCUACGCAAGAGCACUCUAGCAGGACUGCCGUUGACAAGACGGAGGAAGGUGGGGAUGACGUCAAAUCAUCAUGCCCCUUAUGACCUGGGCCUCACACGUACUACAAUGGCUGUCAACAGAGGGAAGCAAAGCCGCGAGGUGGAGCGAACCCCUAAAAGCAGUCUUAGUUCGGAUUGUAGGCUGCAACCCGCCUACAUGAAGUCGGAAUUGCUAGUAAUCGCAGAUCAGCAUGCUGCGGUGAAUACGUUCCCGGGCCUUGUACACACCGCCCGUCACGCCAUGGGAGUCGGUAACACCCGAAGCCUGUAGUCUAACCGCAAGGAGGACGCAGUCGAAGGUGGGAUUGAUGACUGGGGUGAAGUCGUAACAAGGUA
Molecule: ribosomal RNA, 1470 nt
Filed under: metagenome
Description: bacterial SSU rRNA
Rfam family: Bacterial small subunit ribosomal RNA
Source: RNAcentral